GACGAACGCUGGCGGCGUGCCUAAUACAUGCAAGUCGAACGCAUUUUCUUUCACCGUAGCUUGCUACACCGAAAGAAACUGAGUGGCGAACGGGUGAGUAACACGUGGGUAACCUGCCCAUCAGCGGGGGAUAACACUUGGAAACAGGUGCUAAUACCGCAUAAUUCCAUUUACCGCAUGGUAGAUGGAUGAAAGGCGCUUUUGCGUCACUGAUGGAUGGACCCGCGGUGCAUUAGCUAGUUGGUGGGGUAACGGCCUACCAAGGCUGCGAUGCAUAGCCGACCUGAGAGGGUGAUCGGCCACACUGGGACUGAGACACGGCCCAGACUCCUACGGGAGGCAGCAGUAGGGAAUCUUCGGCAAUGGACGCAAGUCUGACCGAGCAACGCCGCGUGAGUGAAGAAGGUUUUCGGAUCGUAAAACUCUGUUGUUAGAGAAGAACAAGGAUGAGAGUGGAAAGUUCAUCCCUUGACGGUAUCUAACCAGAAAGCCACGGCUAACUACGUG
Molecule: ribosomal RNA, 507 nt
Filed under: uncultured bacterium
Lineage: Bacteria
Description: partial 16S ribosomal RNA
Rfam family: Bacterial small subunit ribosomal RNA
Source: RNAcentral